UAAUACUGCCUUAGACGGCUAA
This 22-nucleotide microRNA is filed under the name Strongyloides ratti. RNAcentral describes it as "str-miR-8379a-3p". The record is from miRBase by way of RNAcentral. Lineage: Eukaryota; Metazoa; Nematoda; Chromadorea; Rhabditida; Strongyloididae.